UGGGAGUAUUGUGUCAUUUAGCGCAUCU
This 28-nucleotide non-coding RNA is filed under the name Rattus norvegicus (Norway rat). Lineage: Eukaryota; Metazoa; Chordata; Mammalia; Rodentia; Muridae. The record is from RNAcentral.